RNAcentral lists this ribosomal RNA (253 nucleotides) under uncultured bacterium. RNAcentral's name for it is "partial 16S ribosomal RNA". It matches the Rfam family "Bacterial small subunit ribosomal RNA", at positions 524 to 776 of the family's 1533-position model. The record is from RNAcentral.
UACAGAGGGUGCAAGCGUUAAUCGGAAUUACUGGGCGUAAAGCGCACGCAGGCGGUUGGUUAAGUCAGAUGUGAAAUCCCCGGGCUCAACCUGGGAACUGCAUUUGUGACUGCAAGGCUAGAGUACGGCAGAGGGGGAUGGAAUUCCGCGUGUAGCAGUGAAAUGCGUAGAUAUGCGGAGGAACACCGAUGGCGAAGGCAGCCCCCUGGGUCAAGAUUGACGCUCAUGCACGAAAGCGUGGGGAGCAAACAGG